Molecule: ribosomal RNA, 869 nt
Filed under: Limosilactobacillus fermentum
Lineage: Bacteria; Bacillati; Bacillota; Bacilli; Lactobacillales; Lactobacillaceae
Description: bacterial SSU rRNA
Rfam family: Bacterial small subunit ribosomal RNA
Source: RNAcentral
UAAGUCUGAUGUGAAAGCCUUCGGCUUAACCGAAGAAGUGCAUCGGAAACUGGAUAACUUGAGUGCAGAAGAGGGCAGUGGAACUCCAUGUGUAGCGGUGAAAUGCGUAGAUAUAUGGAAGAACACCAGUGGCGAAGGCGGCUACCUGGUCUGCAACUGACGCUGAGACUCGAAAGCAUGGGUAGCGAACAGGAUUAGAUACCCUGGUAGUCCAUGCCGUAAACGAUGAGUGCUAGGUGUUGGAGGGUUUCCGCCCUUCAGUGCUGCAGCUAACGCAUUAAGCACUCCGCCUGGGGAGUACGACCGCAAGGUUGAAACUCAAAGGAAUUGACGGGGGCCCGCACAAGCGGUGGAGCAUGUGGUUUAAUUCGAAGCUACGCGAAGAACCUUACCAGGUCUUGACAUCUUGCGCCAAUCUUAGAGAUAGGACGUUUCCUUCGGGAACACAAAGACAGGUGGUGCAUGGUCGUCGUCAGCUCGUGUCGUGAGAUGUUGGGUUAAGUCCCGCAACGAGCGCAACCCUUGUUAUCAGUUGCCAGCAUUAAGUUGGGCACUCUAGUGAGACUGCCGGUGACAAACCGGAGGAAGGUGGGGACGACGUCAGAUCAUCAUGCCCCUUAUGACCUGGGCUACACACGUGCUACAAUGGACGGUACAACGAGUCGCGAACUCGCGAGAGCAAGCAAAUCUCUUAAAGCCGUUCUCAGUUCGGACUGCAGGCUGCAACUCGCCUACAUGAAGUCGGAAUCGCUAGUAAUCGCGGAUCAGCAUGCCGCGGUGAAUACGUUCCCGGGCCUUGUACACACCGCCCGUCACACCAUGAGAGUUUGUAACACCCAAAGUCGGUGGGGUAACCUUUAGGAGCCAGC